This 378-nucleotide ribosomal RNA is filed under the name Pinnularia karelica. Its description in RNAcentral is "SSU rRNA". It matches the Rfam family "Eukaryotic small subunit ribosomal RNA", at positions 582 to 968 of the family's 1831-position model. Lineage: Eukaryota; Bacillariophyta; Bacillariophyceae; Sellaphorales; Pinnulariaceae. The record is from RNAcentral.
AUUCCAGCUCCAAUAGCGUAUAUUAAAGUUGUUGCAGUUAAAAAGCUCGUAGUUGGAUUUGUGGUGGGGCCGGUGGUCCAAAAUGUUUUGGUACCGUUGGGCGCUGCCAUCCUUGGGUGGAAGCUGUGGGGCAUUAGGUUGUUUUGCAGGGGAUGCCCAUCGUUUACUGUGAAAAAAUUAGAGUGUUCAAAGCAGGCUUAUGCCGUUGAAUAGAUUAGCAUGGAAUAAUGAGAUAGGACUUUGGUACUAUUUUGUUGGUUUGCGCACCAAAGUAAUGAUUAAUAGGGACAGUUGGGGGUAUUCGUAUUCCAUUGUCAGAGGUGAAAUUCUUGGAUUUUUGGAAGACGAACUACUGCGAAAGCAUUUACCAAGGAUGUU